CCGCGGCCAUGUUGGCGGAGGCGCCACGUGACGCCGAGCCGCAGCGGUCAGGUGACGCGCGGCGGUUUAAAGGGCCCGCGGCGCGCGGCGGUGCCCUUCCCGCGCGGCGCCUGAGGCGCGUGGCGCGCGCGGCCGCGGCCGUUAGCGCUCCUGAGGGAAACGCUCCGGAGCAGCGCCCGGCGCUGGCCCGCCGCCCGCGUCACGCCCUCCGCAGGGGGAACCCAGGCGAGGACGGGCCCCGCCUUCAGGCGUUCCCGCUCCGAGAUGUCAAAACCUGCGGCCGGGGGUCAUUUUAGGUGACUGAUUGUGUUAUUUAGCUAUUUCCACAGCAAGGGGAAGUUCAGGUUGCACAGAUGCCGCUCCACAGAGAUGAGGACCGGCCCUUCAUAAGCUCCCUGGGAAACCAAGUACUGAACACGUCCCCACAAUGGCAAAAACGUGCAAUGUGGGUGCGUGGACCCACCAAACGACCGACCCAUCCUUAAGUAACCUACAGCUGAAGGACAGCCAACAGCAUGUAGAUAACGUCAAUGCCAGAGACUCCUUCAAGAUGCAGGUCUAAGGCACAAAAAUAAUCACAGUGCUGGCAUGGACGACUGAUAACUGGAAGCUUUUUUGAUCAUCUAGUGGAUCACGAAGACCAGCCAUAAGCAGGAUUAGACAGUUUGAUCCUUAGAGUCCUGGCAGUUGCCAGGAAUAGCUUCUGUUCUAAUCUUGCAGGGCUGCUGCUGGUGCAGCUGAACCAAUAGUGGGGUGGGGAGGAAGGGGGGAGUACAAAAAAAGUGCAAACCCACCCAGAAGCCUUGAGUGCUUUCUGAGUGAAGUAAUCCGUAGAAGUCAAGAGUUAAUUGCAGAUUAGGCAGCAUAGAAAAAAUAGUGUUCUUAUUCUUGGUAAAUAAAAGACUUAAAACUU
Dromaius novaehollandiae (emu) is the source of this 913-nucleotide long non-coding RNA. RefSeq lists it as uncharacterized. The transcript is spliced from 3 exons. The record is from RefSeq and is a predicted model, not a curated record. NCBI's taxonomy places the organism in Eukaryota, Metazoa, Chordata, Aves, Casuariiformes, Dromaiidae.